UAUCUAACACCUUUCUUCUUUUUAAAAAAGCUUUGGCUAAUUUUGGUACCUUAGACUUUCAUCUGAAUUUUAGCAUUUACUUGUCAAUUUCUGGGGGAGGAAAGAUAGCUGGAAUUCUGGAAUUUGAUAGGGAUUUAGUUGAAUCUGUAGAUCAGCUGGCGAAUUUUGCCAUCCGAAAAGUAUUAAGUCUUUCAAUCAACAAUCAUGGUAUAUCUUUCAAUUUAUUUGGGUCUUUAAUUUCUUUCAAGCAAUAUUUUGCACUUUUCAGUGUACAACUUUUUGAUUUCUUUUGUUAAAUUUAGGCUUAGAUAUUUUAUUAUUUUGAUGCAUUGGCUCCCUGAGAAACUCUAAUUGGCAAUUAUAUGUCCCUUAAUAGUAAAAGUGGAAAUAUGGAUUAGCUUUUACUUCUCCAGAACAGUAUUCUUGUUGGAUAUAACAAGUUAGUUAAAUGGGGUAAUAAGACAAAAUUGUUAAUGAAAAUAAAGCCGAUUAGACUGCUUUUUAAAUCUGGUAGUGCCCUCUGCUGGGGAGGAAAAGCCGACGUGUACCUGUACGUGGAUGUCUUCGUAGGCAUGGGUAUGUAUGUGCAUUAGAAUGUGUAUGUGUAAGCCUUGAAGUGUGAGGUGGUAUUGGGCAAGGCCACUGGCCAUGGAAAGAGAGAAAAGGAGUUUCUUUUAGUUUUAAGGAUAUUCAUGUGGAUGCUUCAAAUGUUUCUUAUUUCAAAAUGACCUUUUAUUGAACAUUCUCUUUCAUCUUUGAUUUCUAGAUUUGUUGACCUUCUUUUUAUUCUUAGUUUGUUAUUUUUAGUCUCCUUCAUCUCUUAUAAUGGAUAAGAGUUAAAAUUCUGUCCAUUCUGUAUCUCAAGAGUCCAUUCUCCCCUUUUUCUGUUUGGUCCCAUUCUUGGGCAGUCCUCAAGAGUCUAAUUUUAGUCAGAAUCCUGCUAAGGUGGUUAGCCAGCAUACCUUCAAUAUCUGAGUGCUCUUGAUGUAAGACCAAAUUCCUAUCCCCGACAACUAUCCCCCAGAUGAUUUCUGUUCAUCCUGGAGGGCCUUCAGCAAGAGUUCUGCUAGGACAGUCUAGCCAGAAUCCUCCCUUACCCUGACGUCUCCUUUUCGUAAUUCUCCAUCCAGUUCCACUCCCCCUCCCUGCUUCUUGGCUAUAAACUCACUUUUCCUGCUUGGAGUUGGAGUUGAGACCAAUACGUCUCCCCUACCACAGUUCCCCGUUGCGGCAGUCCCCCUGAGUGAAGUCUGCCUCAUAGUUUGAGCUAUAAGCCUGAAUAACAUUUUCUAUAACAAAAUUCACUACAAUAGUAAUAAACAAUUUUAUUACACAUCUCUUUCAGCACAGAGAUGUUAUGGUUUGUGUCAUCAUCAACAGUAGCUUUCUUAGUUUACUGUCUGAACCGGGACCCGUUAAUAUGUGAAAGAGCAUGCUAUUAAUAAUUUUGCCAGAACAGUAAGCCUGAACCAGGGCUGUCUUGGGAGCCCAGAGCGCUUGACUGCUCUACAUGGUCGACUCUCUGACGCUCGCCUUUAUUGUCAUCGGGCAGCAGUAGGGGGGAUGGGAGGAAAUCAUCGACCAUUUUUUUGUCAUGACCUCAUUUCAAGACCACAUCAAUGCUGGGGCACACAGGGAUGAUCUAGAAUGCCCCUUCCAACCAGAUCUUCCCUGGAUCUGUGUUAGCUACAUUUACAGUUUCCUCAGUUAUUGCCAGAUGGUAGCGACAUCCCCGGUGGUCACACGUGUGAGAAACGUGGAGAUAUAUCCUGAGUCAUACUCAUGUCAAAUCUUGGAGAGCAAACGGUGCGAGUUUCUAAUUUUAAAGAGGAGAAAACUGAAUCAUAGAGCUAAGAGGGCACUUGCCAACACCUUAUAGUUAAAAAAAAAAGCCAGAGUUUAGAUUAGGAAGCAGGUAUCCUGACUCUCAUUCCACUGUCUGUGGAUCCAAGAUCUCCAAGAGAGAGAAGGGGCCCACUGAGUGUACGAAAUCACAGAGUCAAACUCCAUGAUCCCCUGGAUUUGAGACUUGAAUUUCCUGAAGAGUCUCUGAAUGGGGAUUACUAAUCAGUGUUUCUCCUGUUUCCUUCCUUUCUAGAGGUUUGUGGUUGCUGUUCCCUCACAUUAUUGAAUCACUGCCCUGGAGAGACAGUCAGUCUUGUGGGGGAGGCAGAUCUGUGACAAAAGGAGGAGAAUAAAUCUCUAGCGGUCAACACUCUGUUGUUCCACAAACAAGGAAGUCAUUCGUGUCUGUAGAGGGAAAGAGUCUUCAGAGGGGUCGUGUUUGAGAUAAAAAUCAGUAGUAAUUUCUUAGAGUUUUGGCAUUUCCAAAGCCCAUGUCCUGAAGCAUGGCAUGCCCACUAUGAUAAUUUAAGAGCUAAUUUGUAGCCUUGCCCUCUCCCGCUUGCACGUGGAGCCACAACUAUCCACCUGCCUCUUUCUUUCUUCUGAAGCACAAGACUGAGAAGUGGCCUUCUCAAAUGCCUCCCUAGAGCUCAGGGGAGAGGAGAAGAACAGUGAGUUUGCACGCUGGACAGAACUGGUUCACCUGCACUAUUCCAAUGCCACCAGCAUGGCGAUCACAGCUGAGUCCGCCCGCUCUGCGGCAAGAUGGGUCUUAGGGUGGAAUAUGUCCCAUUGGGUCUUUCAACCGACAGUCGUUCCUUGGGCAUCCCAACUCGGCUGCAGUGUUUUGGUAUCGGAAGGAAAUCAGAAAUUCCAUCUCUUGCUUCAGAGUCUGUGGGCACCAGUAAACAAGUAUAUGACCAGAAAUUGGA
Lynx canadensis (Canada lynx) is the source of this 2777-nucleotide long non-coding RNA. RefSeq lists it as uncharacterized. The record is from RefSeq and is a predicted model, not a curated record. The transcript has 2 exons. Lineage: Eukaryota; Metazoa; Chordata; Mammalia; Carnivora; Felidae.